Molecule: long non-coding RNA, 886 nt
Organism: Hydra vulgaris (swiftwater hydra)
Lineage: Eukaryota; Metazoa; Cnidaria; Hydrozoa; Anthoathecata; Hydridae
Source: RefSeq, a predicted model, not a curated record
UAAUAUUUAUAUAUUUUAAAUUCAAUAGCUGUAAAGAUAAAAUCUUCUAUAACACAAUCACCAUUCCAACAACCAUUUAAAUCUCCCUUCACUUCAUUUCACUCUUUUUCUAAUGUAUUAUCAACUGAGUCACAAUCUUAUUUACAUCUUCAUCUUUCUCCCAAAAUAAUAGAAAAGAGAUUUUUUAUCAUUUUACCCCCAAUCCAUCGGCAACCGUUAAAAUCGAGAAUAUCGCAACGAAUUUUAAAACCAUCGUUCUCAUCACAGCCUAAUUCUCCAUUUAUUUCAACUUCAUCUGUAUCAAAAAGCUAUGAACAAGAAAGUAUAAAUACUUCAAAUAUUGCAUUAAACAAGUUUCCAUUAACAGAAGCAAGAUUUCAGUAUAAGGUUCUCCACAAGUUACAAGAGAUUUUAGAAGAAAUAAAGAAGCAGGGUGAAAUAAAUGAAUUGCCUGAUUCGAUUUAUUCUAUAAAUCAAAUGUCAGAUUUGGAAGGUUUUAAUGAGUUUGACAAGGGGUUGAAUGAUAUUGUCAACACACUCGUUUGAGAACUCAGCUUUCCAAAAUUGGUGGUGUUUCAUGCUAUACAAAUGUAAAAUCAAUACUUUUAAAACUCGUGAAAAACAAAUUAAUGUCAAGUUUUAAUAUGGAUGGAACGAGGAAUAAGAAUGCGUUUCGUAAGACAAAUCUGAUGAAGGUUAUUGCUGAGGCCAUUUCAAAGUAUGAUGAAAUGAAAAUAGAAAAAUGCGUUGGAAAUGUGCUUAAAAGAGCGCCGGAUAGAAAAGGCGGAGGUGGACGGGAUAAAGAAAAUCAUAAUAGAUGUUUUUUAAAUAUUUUUGUAAUUUGAAGUAUCUUUAACAUGGUUUACACUGCAAAUUGUGUUUUAUA